This 460-nucleotide ribosomal RNA is filed under the name uncultured bacterium. RNAcentral's name for it is "partial 16S ribosomal RNA". It matches the Rfam family "Bacterial small subunit ribosomal RNA", at positions 338 to 795 of the family's 1533-position model. The record is from RNAcentral.
CCUACGGGAGGCAGCAGUGAGGAAUAUUGGUCAAUGGACGAGAGUCUGAACCAGCCAAGUAGCGUGAAGGAUGACUGCCCUAUGGGUUGUAAACUUCUUUUAUAAAGGAAUAAAACGAGGCACGUGUGCCUUUUUGCAUGUACUUUAUGAAUAAGGAUCGGCUAACCCCGUGCCAGCAGCCGCGGUAAUACGGAGGAUCCGAGCGUUAUCCGGAUUUAUUGGGUUUAAAGGGAGCGUAGAUGGGUUGUUAAGUCAGUUGUGAAAGUUUGCGGCUCAACCGUAAAAUUGCAAUUGAUACUGGCAGUCUUGAGUACAGUUGAGGUAGGCGGAAUUCGUGGUGUAGCGGUGAAAUGCUUAGAUAUCACGAAGAACCCCGAUUGCGAAGGCAGCUUACUAAACUGUGACUGACAUUGAUGCUCGAAAGCGCGGGUAUCGAACAGGAUUAGAUACCCCAGUAGUC